GUGCCAGCAGCGGCGGUAAUACGUAGGGCGCAAGCGUUGUCCGGAAUUAUUGGGCGUAAAGAGCUCGUAGGUGGCUUGUCGCGUCUGCCGUGAAAGACUUGGGCUUAACUCGGGUUCUGCGGUGGAUACGGGCUGGCUAGAGGCAGGCAGGGGAGAACGGAAUUCCUGGUGUAGCGGUGAAAUGCGCAGAUAUCAGGAGGAACACCGGUGGCGAAGGCGGUUCUCGUGGGCCUGGCCUGACGCUGAGGAGCGAAAGCGUGGGAGCGAACAGGAUUAGAUACCCGUGGUACGUCCACG
RNAcentral lists this ribosomal RNA (297 nucleotides) under uncultured Streptosporangiaceae bacterium. RNAcentral's name for it is "partial 16S ribosomal RNA". It matches the Rfam family "Bacterial small subunit ribosomal RNA", at positions 505 to 799 of the family's 1533-position model. The record is from RNAcentral. Lineage: Bacteria; Bacillati; Actinomycetota; Actinomycetes; Streptosporangiales; Streptosporangiaceae.